CAGCAGCCGCGGUAAUACGGAGGAUCCUAGUGUUAUCCGGAUUUAUUGGGUUUAAAGGGAGCGUAGGCGGGAGGUCAAGUCAGCUGUGAAAUGUAUCUGCUUAACGGGUACACUGCAGUUGAAACUGGUUUUCUUGAGUGCGUAAGAGGCAGGCGGAAUUCGUUGUGUAGCGGUGAAAUGCUUAGAUAUGACGAGGAACUCCUAUUGCGAAGGCAGCUUGCUGGGUCGUUACUGACGCUGAUGCUCGAAGGUGCGGGGAUCAAACAGGAUUAGAUACCCUGGUAGUCCGCACAGUAAACUAUGGAUACUCUCUGCCGGCGAUAUAGUAUCGGUGGCCAAGCGAAAGCGUUAAGUAUCCCACCUGGGGAGUACGUUCGCAAGAAUGAAACUCAAAGGAAUUGACGG
RNAcentral lists this ribosomal RNA (405 nucleotides) under uncultured bacterium. Its description in RNAcentral is "bacterial SSU rRNA". It matches the Rfam family "Bacterial small subunit ribosomal RNA", at positions 509 to 916 of the family's 1533-position model. The record is from RNAcentral.